This is a long non-coding RNA of Chenopodium quinoa (quinoa), 968 nucleotides long. RefSeq lists it as uncharacterized. The transcript has 3 exons. The record is from RefSeq and is a predicted model, not a curated record. NCBI's taxonomy places the organism in Eukaryota, Viridiplantae, Streptophyta, Magnoliopsida, Caryophyllales, Amaranthaceae.
GUGGUUGAAUAGAAAUAUGUAAAAAUUGCUCAUUUCUGGAAAAUUAGGCUGUAAUUUUUUUCUAGGGCAUUUGCUCAGAUUCUGUAAUUUAGAUGUUUGUUUUUUAAUCAUCAAAAAUCAUUUCUCGAUCUAGCAUUUCAUUGUUAAUCGAAUUAGGUUGUUAUUGUACUUGGAUUUGAAAAUAAUUAUCAAGUUUCUUUGGAAUUUUGAACAAAUUAGGGUGUAUUUUUAUUUUUUUACUCGACUUUAUACCGCCCUCCAAUUUCAAGCAAUUGCAAAAAAUAAAAAAUUCUGGAAGUCUGUGUACACGACAGUGGAACAACAACCAUACCAAUUCCAGUUACUCGGAAUUGCCGGUGAUGUCCCUUGCUCACCAACCUCGUACUCUUUCAUCAACACCCUGAGCUUGAAGUUGUUGCUUAAGAUAUUCGCAGAGUGUCAGGGCUGCUGGAGCAAAUGCGGAGGUUUGUUUAUGCGGAUUGUAUCUAUAUUCUUUAUGGAAAAGAAAAUGAAUCACUGUUGUUUAUGAACGGUAACAUGAGAAGUAGCGUACUACAGCUUAUACGAGGAAAGAGCCUUUGAUAAUAUCGUCAUAUCACCUGGCCCUGGUUCUGCAAUUUGUGCUGCUAAUAUAGGGCCAUAACAAUGUCAAGGAUGGUGAUUCUUCAUCUCAGACUGGAAGCUGUAUAUUGAAGUCUACAAGGAGUGCUUUCAACUUUUGGUUUGACCAAAAUGCAUGUUUCUACAAGUAGACAAAUUGUAUAAAAAUGUUAAUAGAAAAUUAGAAACCAUUCUUAUGAGGGCAAAAUGGUUUGACCAAAGUGCAUGUAUCUAUAAGAAAUUUUCAUAGAAAUCAUGUAUACUUGUACAAUAUAGGUUUACUGACCAUAUAACUUCAAUUUCUUUAUUUGUUCGUUGUUUUGUUGGAAUGUUGGAUGAAUCUCAACGUGUAUAAUACGAGAAUAUUA